This 253-nucleotide ribosomal RNA is filed under the name uncultured bacterium. Its description in RNAcentral is "partial 16S ribosomal RNA". It matches the Rfam family "Bacterial small subunit ribosomal RNA", at positions 524 to 776 of the family's 1533-position model. The record is from RNAcentral.
GACGGAGGAUGCAAGCGUUAUCCGGAAUGAUUGGGCGUAAAGCGUCCGCAGGUGGCAGUUCAAGUCUGCUGUCAAAGACCGGGGCUUAACUUCGGAAAGGCAGUGGAAACUGAACAGCUAGAGUAUGGUAGGGGCAGAGGGAAUUCCGGGUGUAGUGGUGGAAUGCGUAGAGAUCCGGAGGAACACCAGCGGCGAAGGCGGCAUCCUGGACCGAGAUUGACGCUGAACAGCGAAAGCUAGGGGAGCAAACGGG